GUUAAAUCAAUGACUGAGAGAGUAGAUAAAGGGAUUGUUUUUCAGCAAGCUAGGGACGCUGCAAGCCUAGUAAACACCUUUCAUUGAACCGCACUCAUGAGUUGUUACGUUGAACUACAGUAGGCGUAUCCGGAAAUGAUCCCGUUAUCGAUAAGAGUGGCAAUCUUAUUUGCAACUGGAGUGGUACCACGGGAAAACUCGUCUCCUUU
Molecule: non-coding RNA, 209 nt
Filed under: Thermoactinomyces sp.
Lineage: Bacteria; Bacillati; Bacillota; Bacilli; Caryophanales; Thermoactinomycetaceae
Description: T-box sequence
Rfam family: T-box leader
About the family: Uncharged tRNA acts as the effector for transcription antitermination of genes in the T-box leader family. T-boxes are found upstream of many aminoacyl-tRNA synthetase genes and some amino acid biosynthetic genes usually in Gram-positive bacteria. The anticodon of a specific tRNA base pairs to a specifier sequence within the T-box motif, and the NCCA acceptor tail of the tRNA base pairs to a conserved bulge in the T-box antiterminator hairpin.
Source: RNAcentral